Molecule: unclassified non-coding RNA, 1300 nt
Filed under: Bombus terrestris (buff-tailed bumblebee)
Lineage: Eukaryota; Metazoa; Arthropoda; Insecta; Hymenoptera; Apidae
Description: misc RNA ENSBTSG00005034223.1
Source: RNAcentral
AGUUCAAAGUAUUCAUACAUACAUCACAUAUGUAUUCCAAUGUAAGAUUGGUUUUGUUAAUGUUUUUGUGCUAAAGUAUGUUUAGAACACAAGUGUAAAACCACCACCACAAACAAUAAUUUCAAAUCAAAUUUCAAACACGUCUCUAUAGAUUCUUAUCCAGGGAGUGUUUAGUACUGUACCAUGCGUUCCGAGAGCGAUAUUGUACAAAAUUGCAUUGAAACGUGGGAACAGAGUAGCAAACUUGAUCAAAGACCACAGAAUGCAUUGAGACUGUUUCGUUUUCCUCUAUGACUAAAUGGGUCGUCUCGGAAACACUUGUCGGGGUCUCCCCCGAAGAUCCGGAGGUUACAGGAGUGGGGGGACCAAUUUCAGCCGGACUGUCCCCCCCAGACGUUGAUGAAGAGGGAGAUUUAACCUUACCCUGCAACCAGCCCAAGCACCGUGCCUUGUUAAGUACUUGGAGUCCGCAUAUGCUGAGUCCAAUAUGUCAUCAACCACCACACCAUGGUCGGACUUCUCCGCAGCCAAAUAUAUACGUUACAUUCAAGCACUAAACGCCAAAGCCAAUUCAAAGACUUGCAAAUACUUAAUUGCCAAUAGCUUUCUUCGCUAUUGCACAACUGAAUAAUUCUUUUUAAGUAAGUACGAUAGAACUUCCAUAGUGCACAAUGUUCCCAACUAAAGUGAAUGAGUAAAUAGGUAUCCGUUUAUCUGAUUACUUGAAGAACUUGAAAAGAAACAUAGCGUUUUUACUGCCUUUAUCUUCUACAUUCUCAGAUAUAAAUUAUCUUUUACUAGGAAUUACAAUUCUUAUAAUUUGAUUUCGUUUAUAUUUAGGAUUUUUCAAUUUUUCUAAAUUUAAUAUCAAUAGAUGAGAAGUAAGUCAAUUUGAAUAUAACUUUCUCGGUUAAAAGUUGCUAAUUACUAAUGUAAAACAUGCAUACCGUCACCAAAUUAAUUUAAACGGUUACUUGUUUAUUACUCACAUUACUUAUUUAGAAAUAUUUUUACAUAAACAUGUAUAAAGCGGAGGAACGAGAACGGCAUCCAAGGAAUUGAUAAUCUAUUUUAUUAUACAAAGUGUGUAGUCUACGUUCAAUUUUAUAAUUCUGUAAUAAUAGAACUUUAUCAUAUCAGCAUGCACUUACCACCAAGUACAGCUGAAAGAUAAGAAAGAAAAACGUAUUACAAUAGUUUAGCUGGCAAUAAAGAUUAUCUGCAUUAACCAUGAUAGGCGUCAAAAUUAUAUCACAUUUGCAACUACACACAAAGAUUCAUUGCUCCAGAAGCUAAUGAU